CAGAAUAAACCCAUGACAAUGAAGCAUUUUUAAAUAGUUUUGUUUUUCAGGACUGCUUCUGUGUUGGUGGAAUUUAAGUGACAUCCUAUGCAUAGAGCAUUGAUUAGAGAAUGAACAUUGCCUCAGUAAAGAUAAUCAAAGCAAAUGAGGAAAACCAACAGCAGCACAAGGAAAGUCUAUGUCAAACUUUGUUGCCCAGAGAUGAAAGAGUAGCCCAUCUGAAUCUGAGGGGAAUUUCCAUCCCCUUCAGUAGCAGCCACAAUUCAUCCCGGUCAUCUGAAGUCUUGGUCUUAUUGAUAAAGCAAAAAGAACAGAGAGAAAAGAGAAAAUAUCAAAGCCAAUAUCUGCCAAAUCAUAGUAUAGAUAUGAAAUAAACAUGGUUUGUAAAGAGUCAUACUUCAUAUUCAUUGUGUCUAUUCAUUGAGAGUCUAUUCAUUGUGAAUUUCCACUGUCCUCCCUCAGCCAAUGCUCUGUUAAGUAUCACCUGAUAUUCUGUGUAUCCUCUGACAUGCUGUGUCUUAUUCAAAGUAAAGGCUCCUUCAAGUAAAGUCCAGAGUAUAAGUGACCUGCCCACAGUACUUCAUGAAAAAACA
This 593-nucleotide long non-coding RNA is filed under the name Anas platyrhynchos platyrhynchos (common mallard). RNAcentral's name for it is "lncRNA (ENSAPLG00000024169.1)". Lineage: Eukaryota; Metazoa; Chordata; Aves; Anseriformes; Anatidae. The record is from RNAcentral.